Long non-coding RNA from Podarcis muralis (Common wall lizard), 1912 nucleotides. RefSeq lists it as uncharacterized. Lineage: Eukaryota; Metazoa; Chordata; Lepidosauria; Squamata; Lacertidae. The record is from RefSeq and is a predicted model, not a curated record.
CAUUGCCAUUAUAAGAGAACAAAGGGGUGUUUGUGGUGAGUUCUAGCACCUCUUUUUCUAGAAUAAUAGCACUGAUUGAGACUCACAAUAUGCCUUGGAGAGAAGUUGUAAUUUAAUGAACAGUGACACGCCUACUCUCCAUUCUGAGCAUAUACAUAUGGUGAUCAUUAUAUCAAUAUUCCUUAAUUCUUUGCAGAUUUGAAUUCCUUCAGUGUACAAUUCUGGCUCAUUAAUUUACUGGUCCCUACCCCCCAAAAAAAAACACCCAUUCACAAGGCUACCCCUAUUUCCCUCUUCCAUCUGGUGUACAACAAAAGAGAAAAUCAAUUAAACUUGUCUAAAGAUGGGAAUAUAAAUCUCUUAAAUAGCAAUUGUAUUUCCCAUAAUGCAGAUAUAUUUAUCAUUAAAUAGAUAGGUCAUAUAGUCACGGACAAAUAAGCUUUUAUUCUGCUUCUGCAUUGAUUUUUUUAAAAACCCUACCUCUAACCCACUGGCUUCCAUUUAUGUAAGAAAACAGCAUUUGCCAUCAAAGCCUUUCCUUGAUAUGAAACCACAGAGAAACAACCCAUUAAGCUGAGUGACUCUCAGUCAAAUACCACUCUGUCAUGUGUAGUUUGUGCACAAAACAUGGUUUCGUAUAGUCGUGAUUUGAUAAUAGGUUUGUACAUUGUGUGAUAUUUUAUAACCAUUAUCCUCUCUAAUAGGUCAGAUGCACUUUGCUGAAAAUGUCUUGGUACAUAGUGAGUGGAAUUUAAAAAGCUGAAACCGAUUCCAGAUCUUGUUCAUUUUGGAGAGACCCCUGGGAAGAGGCCCUCCUGCUGUAAAACUCCCAGAUGCAAAGGGAUAAGGCACAGUAGGAAAAGCAGCAUACCAUCAAGCAGCUAUAGGUGGGGAAAAGAACCACAGAACACACCGAUUUGACGGUCCAGUAUUGCACCAGUGCUAGACAAAGGGACUGUUCCAGUUGUCCUACGGAUGAGAUGCAAGGGACCAGAAGUGGCUCCACCUUCUCAACCCUGUUCCCAUCUUUCCUCCCAGAUCCUUGUGUAGCUUGCUAAAUAAGAGCAUCACAGGCUGCUUUUAUCAUUUGCGCUGCAAAUGAAGUUUUCAGCUCUGCAGCAUCUUUUCACAGCUCUUUGCUUGCAGUUCAAAAGCAAUGGCAAUGAUUGUUUUCUAGCUGGAAUUAAGGAGGCACGUGUAAGAGCAUUCAGGGAUCCUCCGAAAUCUAAAGCGGUGGCUCUGCUAGCUGAAAUAUACAAAGAGGGGGUUACAGCUAGAACAAAUGAAGCAUUGCAAUCAUUUGAAGGUGCAACUCUAAGGGACAUUGUCCCAGGGACCAUAGGAUACAAUUGGCUUCCUCUCUCCAUUGGUGGAAAGGGAGGUCUACCCUCAUAUGCCGCCUCAGGAUGACAUCAGAAAUUUCCAUUGCCAUAGAUACUGCAAUGGCAAUAAGACCCCAAAGGAGCUCUUCCAAUGUUGUGUAAUGGUUGGAUUGGUUGAUGCUUUGGAUCUACUUGGACCCAAGGGCCUCUUGUUUCCUGGACAUGCCCCAGGAAUGGGAGGAGAGUAUUACCAUUACCCUGAAACUGGAGCUCUCGUUUUCCAUCCUAUUGGAACCAAUGUGUGUGUGUGUGUGUGUGUGUGUGUGUGUGUGUGAGCAAUUGGCAAAGAAAACAAACAACGUAGGAAAAUGCCACUUUUUGACUGUUUAUCCACUAUGGACAACCCAAUUUGGAUGACUUUGUUAACUAUAUAAUCAGCAUCAUUUAUCAUCACCAAUGAAUAGGGAGCUGUCGUCAUCAUGAACAAAACUGACUACAUUCAGGAGGCUCACAGACAACUUUCCAAUAGCGCCUUUUACAUAAAAUUGGACUCAGACCCCACACAAGAAUACAAAAAAGAACCGAACAAG